UAUCUAUAUAAGCAUAGGUGUUUUCUAUGGUUACUUUGAUUUUAAUUUACUUUGUUUGUACUUUGUUCUUUUAAACUUUAGAUUAGACUGAUAAUUCAUCAAAGGUAGUUAUUGACACAGUUUUACUUUGUAAAAAACCAAGUUAUGGUAAAAACUCCCAUAAGCAUAGAUUUAGACAAGGAUAAGGCGGUUCAGUUUGGAUUUCAG
Molecule: unclassified non-coding RNA, 207 nt
Filed under: Hevea brasiliensis (rubber tree)
Lineage: Eukaryota; Viridiplantae; Streptophyta; Magnoliopsida; Malpighiales; Euphorbiaceae
Source: RNAcentral